Molecule: ribosomal RNA, 776 nt
Filed under: uncultured Neocallimastigales
Lineage: Eukaryota; Fungi; Neocallimastigomycota; Neocallimastigomycetes; Neocallimastigales
Description: partial large subunit ribosomal RNA
Rfam family: Eukaryotic large subunit ribosomal RNA
Source: RNAcentral
AGAGAGAGACAUGCGCGCAUAUCAAUAAGCGGAGGAAAAGAAACUAACAAGGAUUCCCUUAGUAACGGCGAGUGAAGCGGGAAGAGCUCAAAUUUGAAAUCUUCAAGGUUUUACCUUGACGAAUUGUAGUUUAAAGAAGUGUUUUCCGUUGAAGUUUUGGUAAAAGUUCUUUGGAAUAGGACAUCAUAGAGGGUGAGAAUCCCGUAUUUGACCAUUUACUUUCAGCUUUGUGAUACACUUUCAAAGAGUCGGAUUGUUUGGGAAUGCAGUCCAAAAUGGGUGGUAAAUUUCAUCUAAAGCUAAAUACUUGGCGAGAGACCGAUAGCGAACAAGUACCGUGAGGGAAAGAUGAAAAGAACUUUGAAAAGAGAGUUAAACAGUACGUGAAAUUGUCAAAAGGGAAGCGUUUGACACCAGUGUUGUUUUCUCGAAAAUCAAUUAAAAAAGGCAGGAUUUUGUGUUGUAUUGACUUUAUCAGCUUUCUGCACUCUCUUCUUGUCUUUUUUAAUGCACUUUUCGUUUAACAAGUCAACAUCAAUUUCUUUUGUUGUAAAAGGGUCAUUGGAAGGUGGCUUUCUUUUCGGAGAAAGUGUUUAUAGCCUUUGGCCUCUGCAAUCGGAGAGAUUGAGGUCUGCAGCGUAGAUCCUUCGGGGUUAGAUACAUUUGUGCUAAGUUAUAGCCUUUCAUAGACAACUUGUUGACUAUGAUCAGUCAUGUAGCUUACUCGCUUAUGCUAUUUUACCUACGCUUAGGAUGUUGAUGUGAUACUGCGAGCA